Molecule: non-coding RNA, 103 nt
Filed under: Bathycoccus prasinos
Lineage: Eukaryota; Viridiplantae; Chlorophyta; Mamiellophyceae; Mamiellales; Bathycoccaceae
Source: RNAcentral
AAGAAGAAGAAGAAGAAGAAGAAGAAGAAAUAAAAAAGUUCGUCACAUCUACGUAUUUAUUAUCAUCUGAACUUUUAUCACGAUUAAUACUACUUACAUUUCA